AUAAACAACCUUGAAACCAGCACAGAUGAAUUAUGGCUUCUUCUUUGGCAACAGGGCUGAAAGACAGAGACUUUCUACAAUCUCGGAAUCAUCAAUACCCACAGAUUCCGACACUGGCAGCUCAUUCAGUCCAGUCUCCCAUCUUUCUGAUGUCAUCUUCUCCAGCAUAGUCUGUAUCUUCUAAUUCUGUAUUUUCUAAUUCUUCCUGCGCUAUGAAAUCUCAUUAUACAAAAUAAAAUAUGUAUGAAAGAGAAAUAGGAGGUGAGGCAGCAUAUUGAAAAUCUGGGAACUCUCCUUCCUUACUGCAGUCUUUUGUGACAGUUGCGGAAGGAAUAUCAGACCAACAAUUUUGAGCAACAACAAAACUGUUGGUCACCAACAAUAAUCUAAAAGUUUCCUGACUGAAACUUUUUGAGAGGAGUCUGCUCAGGGAUAUGUUUCGUGUAAGUGCUUGCUGAGAAUUUCAGUCACAAGCCCUUUUUCCCAAGGCAAUCUUUUUGCUUUAAGAUGAUUGUGUGUACUCCACUUCAGAGGUGAUGCUUAAACCUUCAAAGUAUCUAGUGCUAGUGCUAAACUUUCUACCUUUCAAAGGCUUUAACCUUUCUGUGAUUCACUUAUACUCCCAUUACAGGCUCAUAGUGUCCCCCCAGUGAUGAUCUUUCUUCAUUGUGUAUUUCUUAUUUUCUUGAGACUGAUGUAUCUAAAAAUAUUCACAGCCCAAGUAGAAUUACCUAGUAUUUCCUCUGGUUAAGAAGGUUUUUACCCUGUAUUUGGUGAUUGUAAGCAUGGAGGUUUUUUGAUCAAGGUAUGCUUAGUUUCAAAGCUGUGUGAUAUAUAGAACAAAUCUUAAAUUGGAGGAAGGGGUUAAAUUACUUCAUUAUUUACUUGAACCCCUGAGACUAACAGGUGCAUAUUGGAAAAGAUAAGGAGAGAUGUUUAAAGCCAGCUGCAGACAAGCUGUUAUUUCACUGUGUCUCUGAGAAACCAUGGGUAGAUUGUCUCAUCGUCUCAUGAUGAUGGCCGCUGCCCCGAGCACUAACCAGUAUCCUCCUGUACAGCUCCUCUUCUAGGAGAAACUGAGAAAUAAUUACUGUGGAACUACCCUGAGCUCUAAAUAGCUGUUAUUCUUUAGGUACACUACCUACCAAGAGGUUUCAUCUGCAAAUAAUACCUCUUGAGAAAGUACGCAGGCAGGAUGUGAUAAUUUACAAAAGGCCUUAAGAGAUUGCAAUAUAAAUGUCACAGCUGGGUACGUUUGCAGUUCACAGUAGGUUUGGAGAUACAGAUCCUGAGGCCAGAUCCUUUGCUGCUGUGCCUCAGUAGAAUCGUGCUGACUUAGACAAUUUUCAAGACUUGAUUUUCAAAAGAGCUUUCCUAAGAAUAGUUCAAAAUUUGAAUAAGUAGUACAUGUCAAAUGGGGAUGUUUUUCUUUUUUUAAUUUAGAAGAAUUUUAAUUUAUUUUACAAUUUUUUUUAAAUAAAGCUGGAAACAACGAGGGAUUUUCUUCUGAACCAGCUUUUGAAUAAACAUUUCUUUGAGUAAUAAUGUGAAAAUGCAUUUUUGGCAGAAAAUGGCAUUAUUUUCCUAGGAAAUUCUUGGCUAGUGUGACCUCCAAGUCCUGAGACUGUGGAUGGGGGUACAGGGAGGAGGGUGAAAGGAGGUGAAUGAAAAGCCACAUUGCCUCCCCAGCUCUGAGCAGCCAAUGGAGGCUCCCACACCAAGACAGCUGGGGAAGCAAAGUGGCCACAGGGGGCAAGAGACACCUGUAACAGUGAUCAUAAAAUCUAGACAAAAGACUUAAUGAGUCUUCUGCCCAUAAAAAAAAAUAAGGUAAUGCUGCUGGAGGACAAGGGGAUAAAGGAUUAAUUAAUCCCAAAUUUGAGAAGAAUACAGUCUCAUUCAAUGAGAUUUCAUUGUCCUAAUUUUACCUCAUUCUGUUACUGACUGACUAAUCUUUUGUUCUGAAUUAAUGUUUCCUUCCUAUAAAAAGCAAUGUGAUGGAAACUUCUUUUAUCUUUUCAUACAUCUGUUCUCUUUCCUAGUGCUUUUGACUUGAUAUUUGGAGAACAGUGGCAGGAACUUGAACAGAGAGUCAUGUAACUCCUUCUUCCUGUGUUUUUACUGGAAAUCCCAAAAGGAGUGGUUGGCUUGUUCUGUGCAUCGAGAAAUUAACCCUGAUUCCCCUUAGCUCUGUACUGAGAAAAUUCUCUAGGGUCCAUCUGAAAGACCCACACAGCCACUCCCCUGAAGCCUUUCGGUAUCCCUGAAGUAGAGUUUCAUUAGAAUCCAGCUAUUUGAGUUUCACCUCUGCCAAGGAUUUGGCUUCAGACUCUGGUAGCUUCCAACACCUUCUGAUGUAGGGGCAGGCCUUCGAAAGGAACCAGCCACUGCCAUGAAUCUGGGCUCUUGCAGUAGUUCGUGCUUGCAGUCUGGAGUGUAGAUAGAGUUAAAAUAAUCCCUGUUCUAACAGUUCACCCAUCUCAUUUUUACCACUGUGCCCUCUGGUAAGGAUGAUUGACUGUAAGAACCAAAUUUUGUUCUCAGAAGCUUAGAAAGAGGCUUAACGCUGUGACAGACAAGAAACUUCCUAAGAAAACGAAGGACAAAAUGACAACAAGAAAGUUUACAAAGAAGGAACAUGGGAUUUAACAACAGUGUACAGAAAAAACAAGCUAGUUCCAAAUUAUAAAUGCUGAUCUUGGAUGUCUGAGGUAAACAGAGAAGGUUUCCAUGUUUCCCAGAUUUUUUUCUGACACCUAAUGUGGGCAAGAUGAUCAUUUGGUGGGAAUUCAUGUAGUUCCAAGAAAGUGCAGUUGCUGGUUUACAGCAAAUGAUAUGUGGCCCUUUGUGUCUAUAACCCACAUCAUGGGUAUUUAUCGGUUUAAGUUUUCUAAAGUGUAUGUCUCUAGAUCAUUCUUUGGAAAGCUGAAAGAAAUCAGUGACUCCCUCAUUUCAUUGUACUUGGCCUUACAUGGUUUAAGGCUAUAGCAAAUACAAUUUUUCCUCUCUGUUAUAUGUGAGUCCUUUCUGAUACUGAGAACAUUAUAUUGUCUUCACAAAGGAUUGAUGCUGUUUAUUGGACAUAAAACUAAAGAGGACGCUAAAAACAAUUAUAAUAAUACAGUAUCUGCAGACAAAUGGCUUUUCUGACACAAAACAACAAAAUGAGUUAUUAAUCUAAGUGUCAAUUAAUGCUUUUAAGAUGCUUUAAUUGUACAGUAUCUAUUUCAGACUCAUGAAAUGUAGAAGUAAUUUGGGCUAAAAGAAGAUAUGAUUCACAGUCAAUAUGUAACUGUGACUUGACAAGGGGCUUAAUAGCUGCCUGAGGCAGAUCAGAAUGUGUGAUAAUGAGAAUCUAGCAGAAAAACACAUCAUGGAACUGAACUGCAGAGUUUCCCUGGGUAAAUGGUGUCAGAGCUGGUCAUGCUUCUACAAGGCAAAAAGGCAGAAGCAGUCAGUGACUCUGCAACCUUGGAGUUAGUUACUUAUUUUUGAAGUAAAUACAUGUAUUCAACCUUGGAGUUAGUUACAAAUACUUAUUUUUGAAGUAAAUACAUGUAUUAAUUCAUAGUCGUAUUAAUAUAUAAAUGUACAUACUUUUUAUUUUUUAUAAUGCAGUUUGGUGAAAUGCAUUUUAGCAUGACAGAGAAGUGGGAUCAUAAUAAAGACUUAAAUUUACUGUGCUCCGUUGUCUAUUCAUGUCACUUGCCAAGUCCUUUCUGAAAAGCUGUAAAAAGAAAAUUAUUUCCUGGCUUAGGUUUAGACUUAACUCUGUUCCCUUCAUUUCUACUGUACUCUUCUCUGCAGGGGAUCGUUUUACAUUUUCUUAAUUGCAGAGAGAGAUUGUUGUGUUGGCAGUGGUUGUACUGAGAAAUGGGUUUUAAUGAAGUGCAGUCCACUUACUGCACUGGAACUUUAGCACCUGCAAGCUGAAUGAUAGCAUCCUGUCAAGUUGAUGUUGAUGACUUUGUCACCAAGGGGACAGAUUUAUUUCCACCCAUGCAUUUUAUAGCAAAAUUGGACUUUAAAAACGUUUUGUCAUGUUGCUUUAUGACUACCUGUAUUUUUCUGUUUGAGAAUAUUGCUGCUUGGAAGUAUAACAAAGGGGAAGCUACUGGCUGGACAUUAAGGUGAGACUCCUCUCAAGUAACUUUCUAUGCUGCAGAUGUUUGUAGCCAGGGCAGGUACACAACCUUCCCUUUAGAAUCAGGGAGAGAAAUGGGUGGUUUAACCUUUUGUAGAAAUCAAAUUUUAACUGAGAUGAACCCCAUUUCAGCCUCUUUGCCUAUAAAUACCAUCCUGUACCUGGCUCUGCAAACAGCAUUCCUAGAGGCACACUGAUAGAGGACUCCACAUUGCUCAUAGGCUGCCCCAUCAGGAGGAGACUGAUUGCACCCCUGCUGCAUAUCAGCUUUCAUUUGAGAAACUCUCCAAACCAGAUCGCUCUCCAAAACUGAUCACUUUCCAGGGCUUGUAAAUCCCACUUGGAGCAAAUUAAGGAAAACAUUGCAGACCAUCUCUAAAGGAAAAAUAGUCAUCUUAUAUUUUUCAGGAUCUUAUCUAUGAGAAAAUUAUGCACCACUUAUAGGCUUCCUAGUGAGUGACAUGUACUUUCAGUUCAUGCUUGCUCAUGUCCUCUCUCCAAUGGCUUUUAAAUCCAGUUGUGAAUUUCAGACAUAUGAAAAAGAGAAAAUAAUGUUUCAAAGACUCUGUAUUCUUAAUUUUUUUUUUUUAGAAAAUCUGUGCUUGAAUACAGAAGAAAAAGCCUAGUUAAUGUUACCAUAAAAGAAAGGCAGCACCAUCAGCUGCUCACGGACUUGCACCUGGCUAAACUGGGGAACACACACUGGCUGCCAUGCCAGCACCAGCAGGCUCUGGACAAGCCACUGCACCCUGCUCUUUCUCUAGCUGGUAGCUGGGGAUGCAAUAGGAAAACAAGGACUUCAGAAACUUAAGAGCAGAAUCUCGGGUUGCUGAGAGAGAAAGGCAUUAGGAAGCUGCUGGGUGUGUGAUGAAAUGCUGAGUAGAUAAAAAUCUAUAGGAAUUCAGGCUUAAACUGAUUGUUCUGCACAUGUAAUUUCCAAUCACUUGUAACUUUGUAAAUACUGUUCACUUCUAGAGGUCGCAGAAGGAUCAGGAGAAUUUGAGGGAAUAAAAUGUACAUACUGUUCAGAAACUGGAGCAAACAUCUGGCUUGCUUCACCUGCAGCAUCACUUCCUGUAAUCCUCCAUUCCCUGCUAAGAAAUCCUCUUAGCAUCCCUCUGAAACACAGGUGUAAAGAAAAUUGCACUCUGUCUGGGCUUCUAUUUAGCUAAAACAAAAGAGGCAAUCUCUGCUGCCUGGGUAUUGUCCAAAUGUUAUACUUAAUUUGUCUACCUAAACAUCUUAAUGAGGGAAAAAAGGUAUAGAAAGGCAGUUCCUUUGAGCAAUUUAUCACAGAAUAAAGGAAAAUUCAACAGUGGAAAGUCUGCAAGGCACAAAACACAAAUUCAGUGGGAAGUGAAUCAAGGCUGAAACACCCAAUAAGAAAGGAAGAAAAACUGUGUCCCCUCACUUGUCAGGCUGGUUAUAUCCAACUCAAACAACUGCUUAAAAUCAGCAUGUGCCUGUCUCUGUUGUGUCUUCUGACUUAGACCUCCUCAGCCUUUGAUUUUUUUUUUUUAGCUAUUCAGAGCAUCUCGUGGGCCUUGUGAUGUUCUGCCAGUGUCCCCAGCGCUGCUCUGCUCAGUCCUCAUUCUCUGGCCUGUCCUAUUGACCAACUUCUUGGCCCUUCAGCUUGAGACUCCAUGAUCCAGGAGUUAGCAUAAAUAAGCUGACAACAAUAGCAACAGCAGCUGGAAGUACUCGAGAGAGAAUGACAGUGAAGGACCCAGGAUGAGUGGCAAAUGACAGUAAAUAAGAAAAGUGACUUGAAAAGGCUCUGGGCCCCUAGUGGCCCUAAGAAUAGUGAAUUGGGACAACAAAAGCAAGAGUGCACUUCGAAAGAAAACACGAAUGUGCUCUUCCUCCUGGCCGCAUCUGAACCCUUUCUCAACUUAUAGAUCAAUGCAGAAGCAAAGAUGUGCUGAAUCUUUCAUGUGGCUGUGCUGUUCUAUAAUAAAACCUGAACAAACAGGUUUUGUUUACCAGCCUUCUAGUGAAGCCACAUUUUUCAAUCAGGACUCUUCUCAUGUACCAUUCUCCAGCCUACCGAAGCAGGUUAGGGCUUCCCUUGACAUUGACAAAGCAGCACCAACUUCCAUUGGAGAGUCUCUUUGUAAUGGAAACAAUGUUUAGUUUUUGAGUAUGAGGAAUAAAUAUUUUUUCCAGCAACCCAAGAGUUCAGUCAAAAGCAGGUGCCACCAUUCUGUGAACUUGGCAACAACUUUUGGUGGUGUCUGAAUAGACAGACUUUGCAAAAAGACCUGGAUUUUAGUCAUAAGCUUUCUCCCCUUGGAUAAACAGCUUCACAUAUGUAUUGUCCUGCUUGUUUAGUCGCUUCAUUUUUAAAACUGGGUUUUGUCAAGGCAAACAAUAUGCUAGGUGCCUUGUGAAGUACCUACAAACAACUUUCUUAGCCAAAGAUGGAUUCUUGACCUUUUUUCUGCCACUGGGAGUCUCAGAAGAAGCUUGGGUCAAAGUACUGGAUGUCAGGGAAUUUUGUUAUGACUCAAUGUACAUAGUUUUACAAUGUUCCCUGUUUAGUGAAUUACUUUUGUUUUCAUAUCAUUAUGCUGUUUUAGCACCUCCUUAACAGAAGACUAUUUUGAAGGGCAGCAGCUGCAAAGAAACUGGCAGUAGCAUGACAUCUCACCUGACAGCAAAACUCCCUUCUCAUUGCAGUGACCACAGCUUGCACACAUCUGAAAACUUUGUCAUCAUUCAUGAAAAAAAUAAACCCUUUAACUACGACCUGCUAUCACUGAUAUCCCUCCUCUCUGCAGACCCUGGCCAAGACAUGAAUAUUCUUUCUGAUAGUUCCCUUCUAUGUCUGAAUGCAAUUUCAUGGAAAAUUAAAUGUGACAGUAGAACUUGCCAGUGACUGUGAAGUGAAUGAUAAGUCUUCUCUCUGCUCCCCAGUACACUCAGUGUUCAUAGCACUGAGUUUGGCAGAGCUGCUGGGUUUGCUCAUUUCCUUUACUCUGGGCCAAGAUUCCCAGUAGUGUCAGGACAAUUUUAGAAGCAAGAUACACUCAACUGAACUUCAUCUAUGAAGAGAUGAACAGGUGCUUAUAGCUGAGUUGUCAAGUCCAUAUGAUCAACACUUGAUGGGUUUUUUUUCUUUUUGAAAUAGAGUAAUUUUGAGUAUGGAUUUUUGACCAGUCCUCAGAUUUCAGGAAGCAAUCUACUCCUGAACUGAUUCAUGCUGGGGAAAACAAAAAUGCAGAGAAGAUAGAAACAAAAUCUGCAGUAUGCAGAGUAAUUUUCAUGGGUGGAGUAGUGGCGGUGCCUGUUGCUGGGGUUGGAGCGGUUGCAGGGGCUGUUGUCACAUUGUCAGAUUUAAAGACCUUUUCCUCCUAAGGACACUGAGCACUGUUGAACAUGUCUUGAUAGGCCUGGGCCAGGCCCCAGCACAUUGUAGAGAUUUGGUUCUUCUGUGGGGUGCCAGGAUGAUAAGACACUUUUUAAGAAUAUUUUGCUUCAUUCCUGGAUUCUGCACAUAUUGAGGGGUAAGGUGCAAACACACUGGAGGUGCCCACUGCCCUAGGGACUUACUCAUACAAUCCCAUCCACCCCAUCACUCUGAACUAUCCAGUUUUUGGGUAGAUCUCUGAGUAAUAUUCUUAUUUAUUUGUCUGGCCUUAAAGAAGGUCUGAACCUAUGCAAGAACAUGCUGGCUCCUAGCAAAAAGACCAGUUUGGUUUCAAGGGUAGUCACAGGAUAUUCAAAAUCUUUAAAAUUCUUGACUAGUCUAAUCAGUCUGGAGGACAAGGAAGGAAUAAAGAAGGGGUGAAAAAAAUAGGAAAGUGUUUCCCCCAUAUGUUGUUCCUCUGAGAAAAUGGAAAAAAAGCCAAAGGUGUGAUUUUCUAGUAGAUGACUCCCAAAGCACAGAGGUGCCUGCAAUACUGAAUGCAUCCACUAUGUUUGUGUCCCGAUAAGCAGCACUGUCAUAUCAGAAAUACACCCUAUGAAAUACACCACAGAGAGCACGUACUGCAAGUGAGGUAUUACAGAUAUAACUCAGACAAAAAAACACAAAUAUGACGGCAAAUAAGUCCACAUUUUAACUAGCAACUAUUGUUAAACCAAUACAAUGAAUGUUUAUAGCAAUUUUCUUUUAACACACUCUGAUCCUUAUCUCAACCCUUGGUUCCUCUGUUCGGGUGCCAAAAAAGGACUGUCAUGGUUUUAAACCCAGCUGGAGACAAAAUACCAUCCCAGCUGCUCACUUAAUCUCCCUCUGCCUGAUGGAAUUGGGAGGAGAAUUGAAGUAAACUUGCAUGUUGACACAAGAACUGUUUAAUAAUUGAGAAUAGAGUAAAAUACAAUAAUGACGGUGAAUAAUGGUGUUAAAAAUGGAACAAACCAUUGAUGCACAGUACAAUUGCUCAUCACCUGCUGACCGAUGCCAGAGCUCCCUUCUCAAACCCAGAUUGGCCAUGCUUCCAGGUAUCUCUUCCCAGUUUAUAUACUGGGAGUGAUGUUCUGUGGUGUGGGAUAUCUUUAUGCCCAGUUUGGGUCACCCCUCCCUUCUAUGCUCACACCCCGUUUUUGUUUUUUUUUUUAGUGAAUCUUUUCACUGAGACAAGGAAAAAUGAAAGUCCUUCACUUAGAAUUAAAUGACUUUGCAAAAAAAUGCAUCAGUCAGUGUGUUAUCAACACCUGUCUCAUUAUAAAUCCAAAACACAGCACUGUAACAACUACUGAGAAGAAAUUAACUCUAUUCUAAUUGAAACCAGGACACUGAGAUAGGCAAAAUAGUUGUUAGGCAAUAUCCAGAAUGCAUUCUUCCAUAAUACGUUCUCUCAAGCCUGAUAACUCAAUGGAUUUUAACUUGUCUGCUGUGCUACAUUGCAUGACUACAAAUUAUAUUUCAGGGAAGGAACACAGCUGGUGCAUCCACCUGUGUAAAGAAGUGAUAAGGAAAGGUUAUGAGGAAUCAUGAAGUAGUAAGGAGCUGGAGGCUAGGGAGUUCCAUGAGGAGGACAUGGAAAUAGACAGGGCAUGGACACCCUGACAUACAAUCAGUGAAUUUAGUCUACAGAUUCUGAAAUUUACAACCUGCAAGGCUGAAGAUGUGGCAGUUGACAUGCUCCAAUUGAACUGGAAGUAUCAGAGACCCAUGUCCAGAUCAGCAAAGACAUAAAUCAGCAGGAACCUAACUGGAGCAUCUGAAUGGAUGCUCAUACUGCUGAGUAGUGACUUGCGAUAGGAGUGUGUUUGUGGGGUGAAACAGUUGCCACUAGGGAUACACUGUCCAGGGUGGGGAUGUGGAGGGGGAUGGAGGAGGCUGUUAAUGCCAUUAGUUUUGGAACACACUAGAUACCACCCAACCCAGAAGCAUGUCUUCUGGUUUAAUCUAAUCUGAAAGCAAGCCAUCUUGUGUACCCUGAGACAACUCCACAAAGCAAACAAAAAGAGGACUGAUAGGGUGACUGACUUUAAAAACAUGCCCUGAGUGUAAUACCAUCUCCAUUUCUCUAACAGUAUAUAACAACAACCUGAAUGGAAAUCAUUCCCAUGGGCAGGAAAAAGGUUGGUUAAGAGGUGAACUAAUACUCAUGGGAAACAAAGCAGUGCUUGUUCCAGAGUUCUCUGUUUAGGAUGUUGAAGUAUUUAUCACGCAGCUGUUAACAGUUUGUAAAAUGCCACAGACCCACAACUCCAGCAAACACUGAUCACCUGUGCCUGGAUCUCUGUCUCUGGCACCACAGACCUCUGAUCUCGCCCUGGGACCUGGGGUGAUGCUGCAUAGCCAGUAACACAAAACCGUUUCUAUUUCCUCUGAUCAUUAAUCACUCAGGAUUUCAUUGGUACUUAAUGGCAAUACUUUGGGCACUCCUAUAAAGGCUAUAAGAUUUCUCAUACUUGGAGCCCUUCUGCCUUUCUAAGGCACUCGCAUUUUCUUUUUCUAGGAAUAGCCUUGCUGAUAAAAUGAGUCACCUAGCCCUCUGCCAGCAGCGAACAUGAUGACUGAUGCUUAAAUGGCACCUUUCACGCUAGGAAUGUUUAAACCUAUGUGUGGAAUCCUUCCCUGGCUGCUGGCUGUGCUGUCAAUACGAUGCCAGAGCCUUUCUACAUGCACAGACCAGGAGGUCUCAGUGUGAGGAUUCAACACCCUUCGUUACUGCCUUGGAAAGGAUCUGUGUGUGAGGCUCUGACAUGGCUGGCAGGCUUAAAUAUUACACAGGGAGUUAUGGUGCUCCUAGGCCAUGUUGAGGGAACAGCAAUGGAAGUUCACUGUGCAAGUCCACUGGUGAGGUUCCUGCAGCCAUGUCACACGCACCUCUUCUCAUUCUUCCUAGUGUGCCAACAGCUUGAUCCUCUAGCACACCAGUGGUCUCCUGCGUGCUGCAGAGAUCCAGGCAGUAGAGCAUGAAAAGGUAAGUGAUGUGAGCUUUAAUGUUUAUUCUGUUCCUAAUGGCUUAACACAAGCAAGACUUGACUGUCUGCCUUAGAAGCAUGAAUUAAUUUCUCCGGGAUGUGGUGUCUAGCAGCACUAAUGUUAGAAAGAAGACUAAGUAUUUAAUACUGAUAUUUUAUGGAAUGCUCUUCAUGGACAGAAUCACAACACAAAGGCAUCUGAGGAGCAAACACCUCAGCUGUUCCUUCAGCCAGCCGGCCAAACACAUCUUCAGCUUCUCUACCACAAAGUACCUGAUUCAGAGAAACCUGUAAACUGUAGAAAAGGAAAUAGAAAAGUAAACUUGAACCUCAUUUUUUCUUCUAUGAAAUUUGAAUUUCUGCAGGAUCUUACAAGAUAAUAUUGCAAGUAUCAAAUAAAAAUAUACUUCAGUUACAAGGGAAGUCACUGUUGCUACAGCCAGAAGUAAGUGAGAGAUUGAAGAGGAUGGCAUCAUUCGGUGUUGAUGGGAGCCUUGGUCUUCUGAAAGCUGUGCACAUCUGUCCAGCAGCAUCAAGAGUUUUCUAUUUAAAGUCAAGCACUGGUUCGCUGAACCUGACUCAAAGAUAACUGCCGCUUGUUUCACAGAACUGGAAAAUUAAUUGGUGUGAAAUGUAUUGGAAAACAGAAUGGUAAUUCAUAUGCCUCAGCCGUUUCCUUAUUAGGUAAAACAAGCUUUUGAUUGUUCUCCCAGGGCAUACAAUACCUCAAUAUGCUGCAAAAUAGGCUUUUAGAAAAUGAGCCAGCAUGACUUGCAUACCUCAGUGACCACUUUUGUGACAAAUGCAAAUGAAUACUUUGAAUCCAAGGUCAAAGUCUUAAUCAUCAAAAUGGCAAAGGCUCAGUCACUAAUUUCUUUAGAUGUACUCUUCACCCUACAUAAACAGCCCGCCCUGGGCUGACUGGGACACAGUGGGGUUUGCAGAAGACAGGGACCACUGGUUGUCCCUGUGAUGAGUUCCCUAGACAGCUACACUGUAAAUUCUUCACAGCAGAUGCAAAAGAAACCAGCAUGGGACCAAAAUCCUCCUAUGGAAAAGGGAAGACCACACAUUAAAAUAGCAGGAUUAGAAGCUCAUAAAACAAAAGGGUGGCUUAGGGUUCUAGAUGUAUCAUAUUACCAAUGAUCUUUUACAGUUGCCUCUGCUCCUUGGAACCACUGAAUCAUUUUCUACUUGGCCAUGUUUGGAAAUGUCAGCUUUUUCCAAAUUAAUUCUAUCUGGUUGCAUCAACUGAAAAUUCAGAGUGGCUCAGUGACUUAGUGUGGGAAAGACAGUUGCGUAGAAGAAUAUAAAUUAAUUCAUUAUCCUGGCAGAAUUAAGCUCAUUUUAAUAGCACCGCCCCCUACGUUGAACAAUGCUAGAAUAAAAAUUAAAAGGUAAGUCCUUUAGCAGGAAGUGUUCCUUUUUUGGUCUACACUGUUUUUCAGCAAGUAAUGAUAACAACAUCCAUAAUAAGAGGAUGCAGGAGGUCUGGAUGCUCUCUGACUCUAUCCCUGAGGAAUGGGGUGAUGAGAAAUUAUGUUGACUUAAGCAUAUGACCAGAAGGAUUAAUUUUGAUUCUGUAGUCUUGGUAUCAGCUGCUACCUCGAAGGAGAUGAGUGUGUUGGUGAUGUUUCUAGGCUACUGAUUACUUGCUAUCCCUGACCUGAAAAAUGACAAGAUCCCUGAUUUCACAUUUCCAGCCUCACUACAGACUACUGCUAGGAGAGAGAAUUACAAGAGAAGGUAAGACUGUUUUAAAUACAUCUUUACAUCUGGUCACGACAUAGAUUUCUAGCUCAACAAUAACAUCUAGCCCAAGAUGUUAUCUCAUGGUGUGGGUUCAUUCAAGUAAUAACUGGGGUGAGGUUAAGUCAACACCACGUAGUGCAUACCACAGCAAAAUCCCUGUCCAAGCUGGCAGACAACUAAUUUUUAAAAGCUUGUCAGCCCCUCUGUGGUUUGUACCCUCUCUGGGACACUACUGCAUAUCUGCUCAACACACCAGACAAAUCCUCCAGGGUGCUCCCAGGCCACCCCCAGCAGCUGGUGGAUGGACUUUUUGCACGGGCAAGCAGCUGGCCUGCCACCUCCUGCCUCGUCCCUUCCCCACGGGCAGCACCCAGAGCAGCUGAAUGGGGCUGGUGCUGCUGUGCCAUCGACCGGCCAGAGGCUUCUCUCCGAACACUGCCCAAGUGGCUGUGAUUUAGAAUGUCUGCACUAGCACAGGCUAAUGGAAAACCAACCUGAUACAAAUGAGCUGCAACAAUCUCCAAGUGAAUGAUUUCUUGUGUUUUGCUAAUAUCUUUAAAUGAAUCAAACACCACAUUUCUAGGAGAUGCCUACAUUGUAAAUGGACUUUCUCACCGUGCAAAGGGUUUCCAACAUGACAUUUAUAUCCUAACCAUAUUGUGUUUGCAGACAUUCAUUUGUAAAGAUUUUCCUUUUCUCUUUCUGAAAAAAUUGCAUUUUUAUGGGUAAAACAAUCAGUGAAGGUGGCCACAGUGCCACUAUCCCCUUUAAAUUAUCAAAAAUAAAAAAUAAGCUUAAAUAAUA
This is a non-coding RNA of Taeniopygia guttata (zebra finch), 13081 nucleotides long. The record is from RefSeq and is a predicted model, not a curated record. Lineage: Eukaryota; Metazoa; Chordata; Aves; Passeriformes; Estrildidae.